Long non-coding RNA from Triticum aestivum (bread wheat), 459 nucleotides. RefSeq lists it as uncharacterized. The record is from RefSeq and is a predicted model, not a curated record. The transcript is spliced from 4 exons. Lineage: Eukaryota; Viridiplantae; Streptophyta; Magnoliopsida; Poales; Poaceae.
GCGGGUGUUGCCGGUUGAUGGUGGCCUAAGCAUUUGAGUCUAACUGAAAGUGAACCGGAGCGAUGUGCAGAAAAAAAAUCUUAGCACAGAGACUGAAUUUGUAUACUACUUAGAAUUUAUUAGAUCAGGUUAUAUUUCCUUGGUAGCAUGGCAGCAGCACCCAAUCAAACCACAACCGCGGCAGGCGUGCUCUGCGAUCUUGGCCACCGUCUCCAAGGCAGGAAGUUGGGCGCCAAGGUGGAGUCCCUGCAGAAGUAGUUCACCCGGAAGGUCGUCUUCUCCAAGGCGUCCCUAGCCUUCGAACAGGACCGCUCCAUCAAGAUUACUUAGCUUCGUUCAACUGCCAUUUUGACAUGGACUGCAAGUGGUGCUAGGGUUUGGUUGCUGGAUGGAAAAACACCAAGAACAUACGUCAUUACUCUAGCCACAUGGAAGCAAGAACGCAUGGCACCGUCCGCG